UAUAUAUAUAUAUAUUCUAUAUUCUUUCUUUCUAGAUAAUGCUAUGGUGGCAAAACUUCCUUAGUAAUAACACAUAACAACGACAGGCCGUUUUUAUUUAGAUUUUUAUUUGGUACAUUUUUUUGGAGGAUACUGAGACACUGAAAUGCAGUAUUUUACAUUGUGGAAUUGCUCCUAAACAUACUAAAGUGAGCAUUUAGUGCUGCAUAAAUAUUCACAUGAUGGAUAAGGUCCCACCAAGGCCUCUUAAUACCAGAAGUUUUAGUCUUGUUCGGACAAUUAUUUUGUCAUCAAUUGAGCCGUGUGUUGCGUGUUCGUGUAUUUGAGCACUGGGUGACUGGAAGAGGGCUGUCAGCACUCAGCUUAUGACCAACAAACACAACGUACACUCUGACCCGAGCUGUCCGUCACACACGGCCUAUCCCUCCCCCUGUAACACAUGACCUGUGUCCUAAUUCCUUCCAGUCCGAUGGACCAGAGGGGGUUUCUACAGGUGCGUGUGUGUUUGUCUAUGUGAGAGAGAGAGAGAGAGAGAGAGAGAGAGAGAGAGAGAGAGAGAGAGAGAGAGAGGGGCACUUUCUGGUAUUGGUUUUUAUUAAAUAUGGAGCUAUAAAUCAACCCUUUUGGAACAAGAGAUGUGAGAUAUUCUUUUUCUCUUCACAGAGGGAUGGAUUGUUCCUUCCACUUUUUACUUCCUGUAUAUGACAGGUUAGCACUCCUGGGACCGAGAAAGAGAGAGAGAGAGCGACGGGGGAGAAUAAGUCAAAAGAGGAUGGAGAGUGAUUGGGGGAAAAUGAUGCUCCGUGGCUGAUGUAUCGCAUGACAGGUGAGGGGCGGGGGUGAGGGUAGGGGGCUGGAGGGAAAAAGAGUGAUUUAGCGGCGGCCUGUACGCUCCUCUCCCCUUAUCCCUGCCCCGCUUCUUUCAUGUCUCAACCCGGGGUCGACCCGCCCGCUGCCCCAGAUGGUGCUGUCUGUCUGCGCUGCCCUCUACAGGAUGUGCCCCCCACCUCACCCCCGCAACUACAGGCCGAUAGUCACUUAAUUGAUUUCAGGGGGAGGGCCCUCUUUCUCUUCUGUUUCAUGCACACACACAUGCACACACACACACACACACACAGAAUGUGCCAACAGCCAGCGCCCUCAGUACACACACAGAAACACGCGGCUGGCGCUGUGCGCUGUCAACGCUAAUUCAAUUUGAGACGCGGAAGUGUGACUAACAGCAGGUCUGCAGAGUGUUUUACCAUAUGCACCACACACACACACACACACACACACACACACACACUCACGCACACAUACGCUCUUUGCUAACAGAUCACUCCAACCGAAGGUAUGAUUAUAAUGUAAUUCCACAAGUAUAAAUCUUAUUAAUAGAUCUCCUCUCCCCCUGUUUCCUCCUCAGCUGUCAUAUCAAGUACAGAAUGGAAGGUCAACUGCUUCUAUUUCAGUCUCACUAUAGUUUCUCUUUCAACUAACUGGGAGAACGUUUGCAGGUCGUAUUCUGUUAAGUAAAUACAACUACCAACGACGGAAUUUGAUUAUUUGUUAUUUGAAUUUUAAACAAGAUAUGUUUGAGAUUAUUGGGAAUGAAAUACAUUAUUGUUGUGAAUUGGUACACAAUAAUAAUAAGGAUAUAUUGAGAAAAGACUAGCCGUGCUUGCUAACUUCAGCAUGCUAACAAUGCUAGCUCUCUGAUGUUUAGCAGGUUUCUUAGCCACCUUAGUUCGGUGUGUUAACAUGCUAACAUUUGCUAACAAGGCUGAUGGGAAUUUCAUCCGUUUUGAAAGUAUUUAGUCAUUCUGGAGAAUUAGAAAAAAGUGACGAUAGUGACAUUAAAAUGAAACAUUAAGAGGUGACUGGAAUUGUUGUUGUGGGAACUCAUUUAAGCGGCGUGGCUUGCUGAGCCAGAACGAGCAAUCCAGUGAGACGAAUCUGGACAAGACCAAAGGCAAUUCCGAGCACAGAGCUCUUAUUUGUUGCCUGUUUGAGGGGAUGAAUCGUAACGUAAUAACGAAGGGGGGCACAUAUCCACACCUCGGUGGAAACAGACUGGCAGACAGCCUCAAUAAAAAGCAAGAGACAAGGCUGCAUGUCCAGGUUUCACGGGUGGUUUGACGGUAAGAGAUAUCGGGGCGGGUGAUGGGGUGAGGUGAGGGUCAAGCGGAGGGAUGGCUGGAUCAGGUGUGUGUGUGUGUGUGUGUGUGUGUGUGUGAGCAGGAGAUUGGUUAGAUCUUGAUGAAGCGGAGAGCAGGGAUGGAUCGGGCCAGCUGUGUCAGCCUGUGUGUGUGCACGUACACGGCGAGGCAGUAAAAACGGAUUAGAAGCAACGUGGACGCAUCUGACAGGAAGCAAUGGUCAAGAGGUGAGUGGAAACUGGGGAGAGCUUUAGGCUGGAACGAUUAGACACAUGCACACGCACACUUCGCUGCAGCAUAUGGAAGGUGGGGAAAGCCCUGGGCAGCAGCGAUUGGUCACACAUGCCCGUCGAUAUCCGAGCAGAACCAAUCAGCUCGGCUUCCUGUGUUUGACCUGACCCUUCAUGCACAGUAAUUGAAUAUUUCAAAUGAAAAAAAGAAACAGUCUUCUGUUUUGGAGUAGAGGGGGUCUCUUCGCUGUCGACACUCACCAUUGCAACAGUAAAGGAGUUGAAGUGUAAAAAUAAUACGGAUACGAAGAAUAAACAAACUGCAAUAUACAAAAGUACUAUUUAUUGUACAUUUCUGUUGAAUUCAUUUAUAAUAUACUAUGUAACAACAACAUCUGUGAGACAUUACGAAAGUUAUUUACGUUUACUGGUAAAUAUAACGUUUAAGUUGGUUAAACUUAAAAAAACAUUUUCAAUAAAUCUGUAUAUUGUUUCUAGUUUAGAUGCAAACGUAACGAUUAAAAGCCGCUAAUCAUCUCAUGUGAGAAGCAUCAGUUUUGCUUGAAAAAAUCUCCGAGACAAUUACUCAAUAAUUAAAAUAGUUUGCUCAUAUUAGGCCACUAAUUUGUUUGUUUUUUUAGCUCCAAGCACUGAUGUCAUUCAUUUGCACCUGUUGUGCUUGUAGACACGUUUUACAUCUGUGGUUGAUAUUUGAACUAUAGCGUCACAUCGCAUAGUGAUGAAAACCUCCUGGAAAUUAUUCAGGGAUAACAGACCCUCUUUCUAGGACUACAGGCAACAAGGUGGAUUCCCUUAUUGCAAUUAGAGUGACUUCACAGAGCCAGCGAGUGUGUGUGUGUGUGUGUGUGUGUGUCUCUCCACCCACCGCGCAGAAGCGGAGGGGUCGGCAAGAGGGACGGGACCACCGGCCGACCGGAUCCCCGCCUGUCAGCAAGCAGCACCCACACCAGAGGGUGUUGACGGCACUGGAGUAAAGCCACUUUGUAUCCUCACCCGACUCACACAAACACGCACAUACAGUAUAUACAUA
Long non-coding RNA from Gasterosteus aculeatus aculeatus (three-spined stickleback), 3419 nucleotides. NCBI's taxonomy places the organism in Eukaryota, Metazoa, Chordata, Actinopteri, Perciformes, Gasterosteidae. The record is from Ensembl.